Long non-coding RNA from Apodemus sylvaticus (European woodmouse), 1933 nucleotides. RefSeq lists it as uncharacterized. NCBI's taxonomy places the organism in Eukaryota, Metazoa, Chordata, Mammalia, Rodentia, Muridae. The record is from RefSeq and is a predicted model, not a curated record. The transcript has 4 exons.
CUGCAAGUUAUAUGGGAUAAUAUAGAUGGAAAUAGAGUAGUGUAGUGGGAGAUCUGCCCAAUCUAGGCUUAUAGCUUGUUUUGUUAACUGAUUAAAUUGAGCUUUCUUUUACCAGGGAAUUGGGUUGGAAACAAAAUAGCAACAAAUACUAAAACCCCAACCACUGGACGCCAGCGGUGCUAGUACACUACAUCUGGAACCAACUUGCAAAUAAGUAAAACCCACGCACCCAGUAUCAGGGCUUCAGAUAGAUGUAACUAGUGUUACAUGGAAGCCUGUGUCAACCAGAGAACAAGCGUUAGGGUGGAUCCGGAAGACAUUUAACUCCUUGCCAACAUCCUCACUUGGCUUUGCCUCCCUUGCUUCCUCUGAUGCUUGUCAUUUUAUGUCCCCCUUUCCUGUCAUUUGAACCAUAGUGGGUCCUUUGAGAGACAUAUAAUCUUUCUCUUCUCUGCAUGUUUAGCUCAUAAUUCUCUCUCCCUGGCACCCCAUUACACCCAAUAGACGUGAGGCGCUUUGGAAGAAAAUUAAAUGCUAGAAAAUUUGGAAGAAAGUUAAAUGACAGAAACUGGUUUCAUUUCUUGCUUUCAAGUGUCAGGGGCAUGGGGCCCUACCCCGUACAGUCUAUUGUAGUCUCAAACUGCAUAGGUAACUGUAUUUAAAAAGCCAUCACGAUAAUCUCUCAGACACCUGAAUUGGGUGGAGUCGAUUCUUUUCUUCCCAAAGAAUAAUGGUGUCUGGGGUGGCCUUUGCUCUACAGGGGACAGCCCAAGGCUCAGGCAGGAGGUAGGUGGCUGUUCUAUUUCUCUGUGAGAGGUGAUGGUGGUGACAGCAUCCAGACACUUCUAUUGAUGCCUAUCAGGACCUGCUUCUAAGCCUCGGGCUUGCAAAGGGUUUCCUGAGUUCUGUGAGGAGGGAUUUGAUGCAGACAUCCCAUUUACGGCUGAGUCUCUCACUGCAUGCUGUCUGGCUGUGGUCUCUGUAUUCGUUCCUGUUUGCUGCAGGAGGAAGUUUUUCUGAGGAUGGAUGGUCUGCCUCACUGGCCUGCUUGCUUCUCUGGCAGGCUUGGCUGGUGUUUUAAGACUUCAUUCAGUUCAAAGUGUGUCCUUCGUCUGUCUCUGGCAGUGCAGCAUUAGCUGGGCUUCUGCCCCAGUGCUGGAAAGUGAGCACAGAUCUCACACAUAAGACACACAUUCUGUGACUGACCCAUAUCCCAGACCCCCAUGAAGGUUCAUAUUCAUCUAAAGAGAAAGAGGGAAAUGACUGCACCGUGGCGCAUGUGUGAAGGGCAGAGGACAGUUUGUAGGAUUGUGUCUCUCCUCCACGCUGGGGUCCUGCGGAUUGAACUCAGGCCACAAGACAGCUACGAAGCCCAGAGGCUGGAUUCCGAGGCACAGAGUGGACCUCCAGAUCCACCCACUGAACUAAGGAUGGAAGAGAGUCUCUUGUCUAUGUUGCAAGAAGGAAAAGGCACCGUUCACAGCCCACUCUUCUGGCGACUCCCUUAGGAAUGGAAGCCUUCCUCUUAUGAACCCUAAUGGGAGCCUCUCUCUGAUUUCUGCCUACAGUUACUAUUUGCCAGGUAUCCAUGUGCUACCGGGACAAGAGACAAGCAAGGGCAAAUUUCUGUCUCUUCCUUGUUAUAUAGCUCUGAACAAGUCGCAAGAACUGACUAUGGGCCGCAUCAGGACUAACAGGGAUGCUGCAUGCAGGCACCGGCACAGGUGCUCAGUUACUUCACCUGUGGGCAUCAUUUAUCCCGUCCGCUCCAAGUCCCAGGAGCAAAGCUCCAAACGAUCUCAGGGACUAUCCUGAAGGCAUCUAGAGAUACGUGUGUUUUGGGAAUUGGUCAUCUCUGCACCUCUGCCUGGGCUCAGGCUGGAUCCAAGGCAGUGGGGUGUGGGCAUGAGCUGGGAGUGGGGGCUGCUGAGGG